Molecule: unclassified non-coding RNA, 402 nt
Filed under: soil metagenome
Description: partial contains 5.8S ribosomal RNA, internal transcribed spacer 2, and large subunit ribosomal RNA
Rfam family: 5.8S ribosomal RNA (bases 1-121)
Source: RNAcentral
GAUGAAGAACGUAGCGAAAUGCGAUAAGUAAUGUGAAUUGCAGAAUUCAGUGAAUCAUCGAAUCUUUGAACGCACCUUGCGCCCUUUGGCUAUUCCGAAGGGCAUGCCUGUUUGAGUAUCGUGAACACCUCAACUCUCAUGGUUUGCCAUGAUGAGCUUGGACUUUGGGGGUUUUGCUGGCCUUUGGUCGGCUCCUCUCAAACGGAUCAGCUUUCCAGUGUUUGGUGGCGUCACGGGUGUGAUAACUAUCUACGCCUGUGGUCUUCUGCCAGAUAACCUUCAGCGAUGGAGGUUCGCUGGGGCUCAUAAAUGUCUCUCUUCAGUGGAGACAGCUUUUUGGACGUUUGAUCUCAAAUCAGGUAGGACUACCCGCUGAACUUAAGCAUAUCAAUAAGCGGAGGA